This 253-nucleotide ribosomal RNA is filed under the name uncultured prokaryote. RNAcentral describes it as "partial 16S ribosomal RNA". It matches the Rfam family "Bacterial small subunit ribosomal RNA", at positions 525 to 777 of the family's 1533-position model. The record is from RNAcentral.
ACGUAGGGCGCAAGCGUUGUCCGGAAUUAUUGGGCGUAAAGAGCUCGUAGGCGGUCUGUCGCGUCGGAUGUGAAAGCUCGAGGCUUAACCUCGGGUCUGCAUCCGAUACGGGCAGACUAGAGGCAGGUAGGGGAGAACGGAAUUCCCGGUGUAGCGGUGAAAUGCGCAGAUAUCGGGAGGAACACCGGUGGCGAAGGCGGUAUCCUGGACCAAUUCUGACGCUGAGGAGCGAAAGCCAGGGGAGCAAACGGGA